GCACAAAUCAAGGGAGAGGGAGAGAGAAUCUCAAGCUGGGUCCUCCUUGAACAUGGAGCUUGACUCGGGUCUCCAUCCCAUGACCCUGAGAGCACCACCUAAGCAGAAACCAGGAGCGGGACUUAACCGACUCAGCAACCCAGGUGCCCGCUGUGUGGAUCUUCUAAAGCAGAGGUAAAAGCAAACCCUCAGACUCUCAGCCCCUCCACCAAGGCCAGGCCUGAGUGCUUGGUGAGGCUUUUGCAAAGGGCAGUUAGCAUCUCCUUGUCAGGGUGAGGGGAGAACCACAGCUUGAGACCAUGUGGCCUCCAUUCAGCCCUGGCCCCCUGAAGUAUAGGGCGGAGGGGGACUGUGGUCAGAUUAACCAGAAAUGAGGAGGACUUGACCAACUCUCUGCCAGAAAGUCUCCUCCAAAAGUAACCACCCAUGCCCCAAAACAAAACGUUCCCUGACAAUAGGUUCCCUUAGCAACUGAGAGGAAACUGGGAGAGAACUAUUCCCCAGCCUCUGCAACAAGGCGUGGGCAGGUGGGGCUGGGCCCCUCCUUGUGGUUCUUACAAAACUGAUGACUCUCAUGUGACCCUCAGCACUGAAAACAGAAUUUGUGGCAAGUCCAGGCUUGUCCUCUAGCAGCUGCUCUUCUGCCAAGAAAGAUUCCUGCAGCACACCCUCAUCUAGAUCUGCUCCCUCAGUCUUGUUCUGACAAUGUUUCCAGGGGUCGGUUGGUGAGACUUGGCGUGGAAGAACAAUGUGAGAAGAGGGAUUCAUCAGAAUGUUCUAGAAGCUCUGAGUUUCACAGACCGCUGCCCCUGCCAAAUUGUCAGCCUGGUGGAGGCCAAAAGAGGCGGCCAACCCUGGAGCACCUGACUUUGCUGCUUAAAACUCAAGUCCUGACCCAGGCCCAACCCUACCACCCCGUUCUGGCUGACCCUGGGUGAUCUCUGCUGUUGGAGUUCGGAAGAGCUAGGGGUCCUGAGGGACUCAGAAGACCCUUGUAUUGCUGCACUGACCCUCAUGAACCUCUUCUGGCCUAGGGCCUCUGGAGCAGGUGCUGGCUGAGGCAGUCUGUGUGUGCCAGCCUGGGGGAGGUAAGUCACUAUGCAACCCAAGGGCAGCUGGUAUCUUAAAAUAACCACCUUUGAUGCACUAAACAGCCCCAACGAAGACCGAGACUGUAAACCGUUAGGAUGGUAUUAGGGGUUGAAUUGUGUCCCUUGCAAAAAGAUAUGCUCAAGUGCCAACCCUUGGGACCUCAGCAUGUGACCUUAGUUGGAAAUAGGGUCGCUGUAGAUAUAAUUAGUUAUGAUGAAGAAGCCUAGGGUGGGUGGGCCCCUAAUCCAAUGUGACUGGUGUCCUUUGAAGAAGACACCCCUAUGAAGAUACAUGCACACAGGGAGAAGCCAUGUGAUGACAAAGGCAGACUGAAUUUAUGCAGCUUUGAGCCCAGGAAUGCCAACGAUUGCAGAAAAACACCGGAAGCCAGGAAGGAGCGAGGAGGGGUUCCUCUGUAGCUUUCAGAGGGAACGUGGCUCUGCCGACACCUUGGUUUGGGAUUUCUGGCCUCCAGAACUGUGAGAUGAUAAAUUUCCAUUGCCUUAGGCCCCCCAGCCCAAGGCGCUUUGUUACAGCAGCUCCAGGAA
This 1640-nucleotide long non-coding RNA is filed under the name Canis lupus dingo (dingo). RNAcentral's name for it is "lncRNA (ENSCAFG00020014984.1)". Lineage: Eukaryota; Metazoa; Chordata; Mammalia; Carnivora; Canidae. The record is from RNAcentral.